GAUGAACGCUGGCGGCGUGCCUAAUACAUGCAAGUCGAGCGAACGGACGAGAAGCUUGCUUCUCUGAUGUUAGCGGCGGACGGGUGAGUAACACGUGGAUAACCUACCUAUAAGACUGGGAUAACUUCGGGAAACCGGGGCUAAUACCGGAUGAUAUUUUGAACCGCAUGGUUCAAUAGUGAAAGACGGUUUUGCUGUCACUUAUAGAUGGAUCCGCGCCGCAUUAGCUAGUUGGUAAGGUAACGGCUUACCAAGGCAACGAUGCGUAGCCGACCUGAGAGGGUGAUCGGCCACACUGGAACUGAGACACGGUCCAGACUCCUACGGGAGGCAGCAGUAGGGAAUCUUCCGCAAUGGGCGAAAGCUUGACGGAGCAACGCCGCGUGAGUGAUGAAGGUCUUCGGAUCGUAAAACUCUGUUAUUAGGGAAGAACAAAUGUGUAAGUAACUAUGCACGUCUUGACGGUACCUAAUCAGAAAGCCACGGCUAACUACGUG
RNAcentral lists this ribosomal RNA (497 nucleotides) under uncultured bacterium. RNAcentral describes it as "partial 16S ribosomal RNA". It matches the Rfam family "Bacterial small subunit ribosomal RNA", at positions 28 to 507 of the family's 1533-position model. The record is from RNAcentral.